AUGCCUAGUGGCGGACGGGUGAGUAACACGUGAGCAACCUAUCCUAUACAACGGGAUAACACAGAGAAAUUUGUGCUAAUACGGUAUAAGACCACACUCCGGCAUCGGAGAGGGGUAAAAGCUGAGGCGGUAUAGGAGGGGCUCGCGGCCCAUUAGCUAGUUGGAGAGGUAACGGCUCACCAAGGCGACGAUGGGUAGCCGAUCUGAGAGGAUGAACGGCCACAUUGGAACUGAGAAACGGUCCAAACUCC
Molecule: ribosomal RNA, 251 nt
Filed under: uncultured Clostridia bacterium
Lineage: Bacteria; Bacillati; Bacillota; Clostridia
Description: partial 16S ribosomal RNA
Rfam family: Bacterial small subunit ribosomal RNA
Source: RNAcentral